This is a non-coding RNA of Morus notabilis, 79 nucleotides long. The record is from Rfam. NCBI's taxonomy places the organism in Eukaryota, Viridiplantae, Streptophyta, Magnoliopsida, Rosales, Moraceae.
UUUGUGAGAUGAUGACUCUAUUCCAACUUAAGCAUCGGCGAUGCUGAAUUUGACAUUUGCACGUCAGUCUGAUCUCAAA